CUCGGGAAUUGUUUUUAGGAAAGGUAAAAGGCAGCCUUUUCUGUUACCACGCAAAGCUGAGCCGGCAGCCUGGCUUUGUCAGCAUCUGGGGCUCCAGCGCCCGAGAAGCCCAGCCUCGCCGGCGGUCAAGUUCACAGCGAGGCCACGCGCUGCCUGCGCUGCGCUCCCGGGCCCACACCGACCGCACCGCGCGCCGCCGGUGCUUCUCCCACCCCGGCCUAGAAGCUGCCUCCCUCCGCCUAUCCCUGCAGGAGAAGAAGCCCGAGGAGGCGGAGCAUGGACCUCGACAGUUAAAACAUUUAAGAGAGAAAACUUAGUGUCUUGUUGGCCUGAAAUCGAGUACGCAGCCCGGGGUGAUCAGGGUCUCCCGGCCCGGAUGUGUGAGACUUGCUUCCCCUGGGCAAUAGGCGAUACGAUGCUUUAGGAGGAAGGUCUCUCUCCUCCUAAGCCCCGGAGGGGAGAACUUCCAAAGACAGAAAACCACAGGGUUCCUGGCACAGAGCUUUCCCUUUAUCAGCUAAAGCAGAAUCUUUUCUGGCCUUAACCUGGCCCCUUCCUCUAACUGUAGGCAGAGAGGCAGACAGAAAAGCACUUGCUGAAACACAAAGUUUUGUUCUGUCCUCAACGAACUGUCUAGAGUUGAUUGCUGAUAGUCGUGGUGCAUUAUGCCUUCCUGGUUUUCGUUUAAUUGGGCACCACGCUGCCUUUCAAGACACCUUAAAGGAACCAACAACCAAAUCCAAGAGAGCUGGACAGACCAUUGAACACACAGUAGGCUGUGUCUCGUGGCUUUCGUUGUCUGGUGCCUCAAAGAAAACAUCAGAAAGAUUGUUUCUAAGCUAGAGCCACCCCAGAUUGCUUAAAGUGCAAAGCUCACUGCUGUUGGGGGUACCCUUGUGAGACACUGGAAAGCUGGUUUUACCGUGGCCCUAUGAAGAGGAAGACUGAAAUUUAGACAGUAAUACCUUUACUAGGAUUGGAAAAGAUUUGGUUAAUGACAGCCCUGUCAUUUCUAAAACCCAUUAUCACUGUGUGAGAGAUUCCUUUGCGCUGCAUCCUCGACAGUGCUUCCUAAGACUCUGCCGACUUCCAGUUCUGGAACAAGAUGGUUAAACUCAUUUUUCCCUGCUCUGCUCCUCUAAAUACAACUGAGUACCUUGGAAACUAUUCAGCAGACAAUGAUAAAGGGCUCUGAAAGCUAGAAGAAAAGGUGUACUUGCAAGAAACCUCAGGACUUGAGUAACAGCAACAUGGCAGGCCAGAAAGCAGACCCAGGGAGGAUAGCCCAUGUCUUCGGCUACACUGGUGAAGGCAUCGUGCCUGCUCCACACCACAUUUUUAUUCAAGGAAAGGAGAAAGAGACCACCUACUGCAUUUCUGUCACUCGCUGAAAAGGACACUCUGUCAGAAAAUCUUCUAGCAAACUUCAAAGGGCAAAAUCACCCCUUGUUACUGAUAAAGCCCAGAGAGCUUCAGCAGCUAACAUUCCCUGGACAGGGCACAGCAAGGAUUUGAACCUAGGUCAGUCUAGCCAGAACACCCACAAGCUUUCCUUAACUCAGUGUGCUAUCUCCCCACGAC
RNAcentral lists this long non-coding RNA (1581 nucleotides) under Pan troglodytes (chimpanzee). RNAcentral's name for it is "long non-coding RNA NONPTRT010678". Lineage: Eukaryota; Metazoa; Chordata; Mammalia; Primates; Hominidae. The record is from RNAcentral.